GAUGAACGCUGGCGGCGUGCCUAAUACAUGCAAGUCGAGCGAACAGAUGAGGAGCUUGCUCCUCUGACGUUAGCGGCGGACGGGUGAGUAACACGUGGAUAACCUACCUAUAAGACUGGGAUAACUUCGGGAAACCGGAGCUAAUACCGGAUAAUAUAUUGAACCGCAUGGUUCAAUAGUGAAAGACGGUUUUGCUGUCACUUAUAGAUGGAUCCGCGCCGCAUUAGCUAGUUGGUAAGGUAACGGCUUACCAAGGCAACGAUGCGUAGCCGACCUGAGAGGGUGAUAGGCGACACUGGAACGUGAACGCGGUCCAGACGCCUACGGGAGGCAGCAGUAGGGAAUCGUCCGCAAUGGGCGAAAGCCUGACGGAGCAACGCCGCGUGAGUGAUGAAGGUCUUCGGAUCGUAAAACUCUGUUAUUAGGGAAGAACAAAUGUGUAAGUAACUAUGCACGUCUUGACGGUACCUAAUCAGAAAGCCACGGCUAACUACGUG
This 497-nucleotide ribosomal RNA is filed under the name uncultured bacterium. RNAcentral describes it as "partial 16S ribosomal RNA". It matches the Rfam family "Bacterial small subunit ribosomal RNA", at positions 28 to 507 of the family's 1533-position model. The record is from RNAcentral.